UAACCACUCAAGCUCUCGCUUGGUAUUGGAGUUCGCGGUUUCGCGGUCCCUAAAGUCAGUGGCGGUGCCUGUCGGCUCUACGCGUAGUAAUACUCCUCGCGAUUGAGUCCGGUAGGUCUACUUGCCAGCAACCCCCCAAUUUUUACA
RNAcentral lists this unclassified non-coding RNA (147 nucleotides) under uncultured Rhexocercosporidium. RNAcentral describes it as "sequence contains ITS2". Lineage: Eukaryota; Fungi; Ascomycota; Leotiomycetes. The record is from RNAcentral.